This 999-nucleotide ribosomal RNA is filed under the name Helicotylenchus rotundicauda. RNAcentral's name for it is "SSU rRNA". It matches the Rfam family "Eukaryotic small subunit ribosomal RNA", at positions 169 to 1166 of the family's 1831-position model. Lineage: Eukaryota; Metazoa; Nematoda; Chromadorea; Rhabditida; Hoplolaimidae. The record is from RNAcentral.
AUGGAACAAAAGCUCGAUCCUCGCGGAGAGGAGCGCAUUUGUUCGCCACAAAACCAAGCGCCCUUCUGGGCGUCCAUUGCUGAACCAGAACAACUCAGCUGAUCGCACGGUCUUGCACCGGCGACGUGUCUUUCAAGUGUCUGCCUUAUCAACUUUCGAUGGUAGUGUACCUGACUACCAUGGUUGUGACGGGUAACGGAGGAUAAGGGUUCGACUCCGGAGAAGGGGCCUGAGAAAUGGCCACUACGUCUAAGGAUGGCAGCAGGCGCGCAAAUUACCCACUCUCAACGCGAGGAGGUAGUGACGAGAAAUAACAAGACCGUUCUCUUACGAGGCCGGUUAUUGGAAUGGGUACAAUUUAAACCCUUUAACGAGUAUCUAUGAGAGGGCAAGUCUGGUGCCAGCAGCCGCGGUAAUUCCAGCUCUCAAAAUGCAUAGAAUUAUUGCUGCGGUUAAAAAGCUCGUAGUUGGAUCUGUGCCGACUGGCCGGUCCACCCUCUGGGUGCGCACUGGUUCGGUUGGCUUUUCCGCCGGAGUGCCUGGCGUUGGUGUGCUCGCAAGGGUGUGCCAGCGCGGGUCCGGCAAGUUUACUUUGAACAAAUCAGAGUGCUUCAAACAGGCGUCUCGCCUGAAUGUUCGUGCAUGGAAUAAUAGAAGAGGAUUUCGGUCCGAUUUUAUUGGUUUUGCUGACCGAGAUAAUGGUUAACAGAGACAAACGGGGCCAUUCGUAUUGCUGCGUGAGAGGUGAAAUUCUUGGACCGUAGCAAGACGGACUACAGCGAAAGCAUUUGGCAAGAAUGUCUUCAUUAAUCAAGAACGAAAGUCAGAGGUUCGAAGGCGAUCAGAUACCGCCCUAGUUCUGACCGUAAACGAUGCCAACUAGCGAUCCGCCGGCGGAUUCAUUCGCCCUGGUGGGGAGCUUCCCGGAAACGAAAGCCUUCCGGUUCCGGGGGAAGUAUGGUUGCAAAGCUGAAACUUAAAGGAAUUGACGGAAGGGCA